AACACAGCCAUAAGAAAAUCAGAGAGAAGACAAGAGAACCAGAAAAACAUACAUUGCAACGGGGGCAACGAAAAAAGAGAAUCCAGAAAGUAAAAAAGAGAUAUAAACAGAUAACAGCAAGCAAAAACGGGAUAUACAUAUUCACGAGGCAUCAUACCCAGCAAAGAGGAAAUCCGAAGACAGGGAGAUAGGAGCGGAACGAAAUCGGCAUUACAGGUUCACCAUACUCCUCAUUCAGUCUUAGUAAUUUCAUUUUUUUGUAUCCUAUCCAUAUAAGCUUGUAACUAAGACAUGAACCCAUAAUUUUACUCGAAAAAAUGGCUAAUAGCUCGACUUCAAACACAAAAUACGUUCUUUUAUUCAUUUGGUUUCAGGAAGAAUAUACAUCUGUAAGCAUGACACAGAUAAUGCAAUAUAAGGGCCCUAAAGUAGCAUAGUCCCUUUUCGGGAUAAAUUUCCACCCAUGUUAGCCACAUAUAAUCAAUUAAUAAUUAAAUCGGUUGAAUUGAAAGAGGGAUAAAAUUCAAAGAUCCAGACUCUAUUGUGAGUUUAUCGGCUCUAAAUUUCAACCUUAACACCAUAACCUCACGAUCCAUGGCAAUACACAUUCAUGAAACCAACAGAGUGCAUAAUCAAAGUAUAGUACCGAAAAAUCAUAAAGCAAACAAACGCGAGUUAGGAUACCUUGCUGAAUCCCAAUGAUCCAUGGCUCUUUCUUCACCGAUACUGUGACUGUCACAUAUGAAGAUGAUAAGAACUCCUUGAUCACCGCGAGGACAAGAACCCCGAGUUAGAUAACCACCGCUAUUGAACCACCAUGAUAUCAAUCGAACCACCAUAAGCUACUUGGGAGAAGAACUAAACCACCGUAAUCCGGCAAGGAAGGAACUAGGGAUUCGAUUCCCUUUACCACCUUGUCACGAUGAGAAAGAAGAGGAAAUUGAGGCCACCGCACCUCAAUACCGCCGCUGCCAUUGAAGGUGGAGAAGAAGAGGAGAUUUGGGGAUUUAUCCCCAUUCUUCUAAACUGGGGAUUCUAUUCCCUUAUUCGCGUGAAACAAAGGGGUAACCCCUUCCUUUUUUUCUUUCUCCCUUUUAACUAAAUUGAU
This 1108-nucleotide long non-coding RNA is filed under the name Lupinus angustifolius (narrow-leaved blue lupine). Its description in RNAcentral is "long non-coding RNA (LANG_LNC003460)". Lineage: Eukaryota; Viridiplantae; Streptophyta; Magnoliopsida; Fabales; Fabaceae. The record is from RNAcentral.